RNAcentral lists this ribosomal RNA (422 nucleotides) under Salmonella enterica subsp. enterica serovar Infantis. RNAcentral's name for it is "bacterial SSU rRNA". It matches the Rfam family "Bacterial small subunit ribosomal RNA", at positions 1 to 419 of the family's 1533-position model. RNAcentral also lists the same sequence under 3 other names. Lineage: Bacteria; Pseudomonadati; Pseudomonadota; Gammaproteobacteria; Enterobacterales; Enterobacteriaceae. The record is from RNAcentral.
AAAUUGAAGAGUUUGAUCAUGGCUCAGAUUGAACGCUGGCGGCAGGCCUAACACAUGCAAGUCGAACGGUAACAGGAAGCAGCUUGCUGCUUCGCUGACGAGUGGCGGACGGGUGAGUAAUGUCUGGGAAACUGCCUGAUGGAGGGGGAUAACUACUGGAAACGGUGGCUAAUACCGCAUAACGUCGCAAGACCAAAGAGGGGGACCUUCGGGCCUCUUGCCAUCAGAUGUGCCCAGAUGGGAUUAGCUUGUUGGUGAGGUAACGGCUCACCAAGGCGACGAUCCCUAGCUGGUCUGAGAGGAUGACCAGCCACACUGGAACUGAGACACGGUCCAGACUCCUACGGGAGGCAGCAGUGGGGAAUAUUGCACAAUGGGCGCAAGCCUGAUGCAGCCAUGCCGCGUGUAUGAAGAAGGCCUUC